Phragmites australis (common reed) is the source of this 142-nucleotide small nucleolar RNA. RefSeq annotates it as small nucleolar RNA Z247. Lineage: Eukaryota; Viridiplantae; Streptophyta; Magnoliopsida; Poales; Poaceae. The transcript has a single exon. The record is from RefSeq and is a predicted model, not a curated record.
CCUCUGGAUGAUGAAGAGAUUGUGUCAUACAUCCUACCGGCCUUGACAUUGAUUACAAUUCUAUUGUGUCAGCUAUUAUUGCACGAGUGGAGCCCAUCACCGUGAGUGAUCGAACUAUACGCUCAGCUUCUAUGUUUUGAGA